CGAGUACCUCGAUCUGCCAAGGAGAGGAGCCGGAGGCGCGGAACACCCUGAACCCGGAAGCAGAAAUACUGGCGAAUAGGAAGUGAAGCUCCGAGGUACAGCGGAUAGGUCCGCCCUCGCCCCGCCCACUUUUUUCUGGUCCUUUCCCGGCUACGUUCGACCCAUUUCCUGCUGGCCCCGCCCCUCCCCCUUCUCCAUGUAGCUCCUCCCCCGACAGGCCGCGCCCCCUUCCCUGGCGCGCAGGCGCGGAGGCACGGAGUGAGUCACGCGGCCACUCUCACGUCACUGGAGACUGUGUGGUACGUCACUGGCGGACUUCCGGAGGCGCUGCUCAGGGAGCCUACUCUGAACUCUGAGGUUCUUGUCGCCGGACGUGAAUUCCGUCAGUGGAUUAUCUGAAUGGCCAUAUUGCAGCGUCUUCUUUCCCAAGAGUAAUUGUGCCUGCCAACUGCCGUGCCACCUCACCAUUUGGAGAGCAUUGCAGCAUGUUGUGAGCUAGGUAUUUGACCUAAAUUUCUUUCUUCACUAUAGCCUUACUGAAGAUAGCAUCCUUUCUCUGGUUUCUCUGGAUCAUAGUGCCUCACAUCUGACAGACAUCUAUAGCUAUGUCAAAUAGAAGAGUUAGUGAUGUGCUAGUUUGUCAUACGUGAGUUAUGAAGGAGUUUGAAUUGUUUUGUAAACUACUGGGCUGCUAUAUUUAUUUGUUGAGGUCAUGAAAAUUAAGAAUUAAAAAACAUAUUUGAGCCAAUCAACAAAUAUCAUAUCUUUUUAAAAUAGCUUGUGUAAAGAAGACUUGAAGAGUUUAAACUCGG
This 812-nucleotide long non-coding RNA is filed under the name Mus spicilegus (steppe mouse). RNAcentral describes it as "lncRNA (ENSMSIG00000028127.1)". The record is from RNAcentral. Lineage: Eukaryota; Metazoa; Chordata; Mammalia; Rodentia; Muridae.